UGGCAAUUAUGCUAAAUUUAAGGCUUGUUUCUCGAAACGUUCGCAGUUGCUGCCUAAGAGCUUGUGCCUCGAGAGCUGAUUCCUUCCUUGGAUGUCUGAGCCU
RNAcentral lists this small nucleolar RNA (103 nucleotides) under Triticum dicoccoides. RNAcentral describes it as "snoRNA SNORD14". Lineage: Eukaryota; Viridiplantae; Streptophyta; Magnoliopsida; Poales; Poaceae. The record is from RNAcentral.